CGGCGUAAAGAGUGGUAUCAUGCUAUCACGAUAACUAAGACCAAAGUGCAACUAAGCUGUCAUAAGCUCAAGAUGUGCCUAAGACCCCCGAUGAUCUUAGUACGAUUAAUUUAAUUCCACGAAAGCUAAGGUACAAACUGGGAUUAGAUACCCCACUAUGCUUAGCCCUAAAUCUUGAUGCUAGCAUCCGCCUGAGAACUACGAGCACAAACGCUUAAAACUCUAAGGACUUGGCGGUGCCCUAAACCCACCUAGAGGAGCCUGUUCUGUAAUCGAUAACCCACGUUACACCGACCGCCCCUUGCACAGCCUACAUACCGCCGUCGCCAGCUCACCUCUCCUGAGAGUCCAAUAGUGAGCACAAUAGAACGCUAAUAAGACAGGUCGAGGUAUAGCCCAUGGGGCGGAAGAAAUGGGCUACAUUUUCUAAAGUAGGAAGGGGGCAUGAAACUCCCCCCGAAGGCGGAUUUAGUAGUAAAGCAGGAUAAUAGCCCUCUUUAAAUCGGCCCUGGGCACGUACAUACCGCCCGUCACCCUCCUCAUAAGCUAAAGAUG
Molecule: ribosomal RNA, 555 nt
Filed under: Limnodromus griseus (shortbilled dowitcher)
Lineage: Eukaryota; Metazoa; Chordata; Aves; Charadriiformes; Scolopacidae
Description: partial 12S ribosomal RNA
Rfam family: Bacterial small subunit ribosomal RNA
Source: RNAcentral